RNAcentral lists this small RNA (89 nucleotides) under Clostridium amazonitimonense. RNAcentral describes it as "RT-9 RNA". It matches the Rfam family "RT-9 RNA". From Rfam's summary of the family: Firmicutes. Nearby to self-splicing intron genes Lineage: Bacteria; Bacillati; Bacillota; Clostridia; Eubacteriales; Clostridiaceae. The record is from RNAcentral.
GACUGGUGCGUCUAAGGAUUCACCAGCAUGGCCUUGAAUUUCAAGGGAGAGUUAAUCCUUCGCUUUUAAAGCGUAAACACAUGAACAAU